Molecule: ribosomal RNA, 428 nt
Filed under: Verrucomicrobiota bacterium
Lineage: Bacteria; Pseudomonadati; Verrucomicrobiota
Description: Verrucomicrobia bacterium partial 16S ribosomal RNA
Rfam family: Bacterial small subunit ribosomal RNA
Source: RNAcentral
UAGGGAAUCUUCCGCAAUGGACGAAAGUCUGACGGAGCAACGCCGCGUGAGUGAAGAAGGAUUUCGGUUCGUAAAACUCUGUUGUUAGGGAAGAAAAAAUGUAUAGUAACUAUAUACAAAAGAGACGGUACCUAACCAGAAAGCCACGGCUAACUACGUGCCAGCAGCCGCGGUAAUACGUAGGGGGCUAGCGUUGUCCGGAAUCACUGGGCGUAAAGGGUUCGCAGGCGGAAAUGCAAGUCAGGUGUAAAAGGCAGUAGCUUAACUACUGUAAGCAUUUGAAACUGCAUAUCUUGAGAAGAGUAGAGGUAAGUGGGAUUUUUAGUGUAGCGGUGAAAUGCGUAGAUAUUAAAAAGAAUACCGGUGGCGAGGGCGACUUACUGGGCUCAUUCUGACGCUGAGGAACGAAAGCGUGGGUAGCAAACAGG